AUGUUGCACCAUCUGCUCUGCUGUGUGACACACCAGACAAGAUGGGAACCAUCAGCACCAGUCCAUGCUGGAUCCAGGCAUUGCCACAUACAAUACAGACUGCCUCUGGAGAGGGGAAGAAGUCUGAAGACUCAAAAGACUAGUGAGAGAGUAAUCAUUGGUUCACACUGUUUCCCUUCCAGCAACUUGCUAUGGCAGUUCCAAGGAGUUCCAGCAUCAAGUCUAUGA
This 228-nucleotide long non-coding RNA is filed under the name Anser brachyrhynchus (Pink-footed goose). RNAcentral describes it as "lncRNA (ENSABRG00000012351.1)". Lineage: Eukaryota; Metazoa; Chordata; Aves; Anseriformes; Anatidae. The record is from RNAcentral.